GACGAACGCUGGCGGCGUGCUUAACACAUGCAAGUCGAGCGGUAAGGCCCUUUCGGGGGUACACGAGCGGCGAACGGGUGAGUAACACGUGGGUGACCUGCCCUCAGCUCUGGGAUAAGCCUGGGAAACCGGGUCUAAUACUGGAUAUGACUCCAUGACGCAUGUUGUGGGGUGGAAAGCCUUGUGCGGCUGAGGAUAGGCCCGCGGCCUAUCAGCUUGUUGGUGGGGUGANGGCCUACCAAGGCGACGACGGGUAGCCGGCCUGAGAGGGCGACCGGCCACACUGGGACUGAGACACGGCCCAGACUCCUACGGGAGGCAGCAGUGGGGAAUCUUGCGCAAUGGGCGAAAGCCUGACGCAGCGACGCCGCGUGAGGGAUGACGGCCUCGGUUGUAAC
Molecule: ribosomal RNA, 398 nt
Filed under: uncultured bacterium
Lineage: Bacteria
Description: bacterial SSU rRNA
Rfam family: Bacterial small subunit ribosomal RNA
Source: RNAcentral